CCUACGGGGGACAGCAGUGGGGAAUAUUGCACAAUGGGGGAAACCCUGAUGCAGCGACGCCGCGUGAGUGAAGAAGUAAUUCGUUAUGUAAAGCUCUAUCAGCAGGGAAGAAAAUGACGGUACCUGAGUAAGAAGCCCCGGCUAACUACGUGCCAGCAGCCGCGGUAAUACGUAGGGGGCAAGCGUUAUCCGGAUUUACUGGGUGUAAAGGGAGCGUAGACGGCAGUGCAAGUCUGGAGUGAAAGGCGGGGGCUCAACCCCCGGACUGCUCUGGAAACUGUACGGCUGGAGUGCAGGAGAGGUAAGUGGAAUUCCUAGUGUAGCGGUGAAAUGCGUAGAUAUUAGGAGGAACACCAGUGGCGAAGGCAGCUUACUGGACUGUAACUGACGUUGAGGCUCGAAAGCGUGGGGAGCGAACAGGAUUAGAUACCCCUGUAGUC
This 440-nucleotide ribosomal RNA is filed under the name uncultured bacterium. Its description in RNAcentral is "partial 16S ribosomal RNA". It matches the Rfam family "Bacterial small subunit ribosomal RNA", at positions 338 to 795 of the family's 1533-position model. The record is from RNAcentral.